RNAcentral lists this ribosomal RNA (451 nucleotides) under uncultured bacterium. RNAcentral describes it as "bacterial SSU rRNA". It matches the Rfam family "Bacterial small subunit ribosomal RNA", at positions 354 to 796 of the family's 1533-position model. The record is from RNAcentral.
GUGGGGAAUAUUGGACAAUGGGCGAAAGCCUGAUCCAGCCAUGCCGCGUGUGUGAAGAAGGCCUUUUGGUUGUAAAGCACUUUAAGCGAGGAGGAGGCUACCGAGAUUAAUACUCUUGGAUAGUGGACGUUACUCGCAGAAUAAGCACCGGCUAACUCUGUGCCAGCAGCCGCGGUAAUACAGAGGGUGCAAGCGUUAAUCGGAUUUACUGGGCGUAAAGCGCGCGUAGGUGGCCAAUUAAGUCAAAUGUGAAAUCCCCGAGCUUAACUUGGGAAUUGCAUUCGAUACUGGUUGGCUAGAGUAUGGGAGAGGAUGGUAGAAUUCCAGGUGUAGCGGUGAAAUGCGUAGAGAUCUGGAGGAAUACCGAUGGCGAAGGCAGCCAUCUGGCCUAAUACUGACACUGAGGUGCGAAAGCAUGGGGAGCAAACAGGAUUAGAAACCCGAGUAGUCC